CCGCCGGCGACCGGCGCACGGGUGAGUAACACGUAUGCAACCUGGCCGUGACAGAUGGAUAACCGGGAGAAAUCCCGCCUAAUACAACAUAAUGCCGGGAGGGGACAUCCCCUGCCGGCCAAAGGGGGCGACCCCGGUCACGGAUGGGCAUGCGGCGCAUUAGGUAGUUGGUGGGGCAACGGCCCACCAAGCCGACGAUGCGUAGGGGUUCUGAGAGGAAGGUCCCCCCACAUUGGAACUGAGACACGGUCCAAACUCCUACGGAAGGCAGCAG
This 274-nucleotide ribosomal RNA is filed under the name uncultured bacterium. RNAcentral's name for it is "partial 16S ribosomal RNA". It matches the Rfam family "Bacterial small subunit ribosomal RNA", at positions 85 to 354 of the family's 1533-position model. The record is from RNAcentral.